GACAGCAGUAGCCGCGGGAAUACGUAGGGUGCAAGCGUUAAUCGGAAUUACUGGGCGUAAAGCGUGCGCAGGCGGUUAUAUAAGACAGAUGUGAAAUCCCCGGGCUCAACCUGGGAACUGCAUUUGUGACUGUAUAGCUAGAGUACGGCAGAGGGGGAUGGAAUUCCGCGUGUAGCAGUGAAAUGCGUAGAUAUGCGGAGGAACACCGAUGGCGAAGGCAAUCCCCUGGGCCUGUACUGACGCUCAUGCACGAAAGCGUGGGGAGCAAACAGGAUUAGAUACCCCGGUAGUCCCUGUCUCUUAUAC
This 306-nucleotide ribosomal RNA is filed under the name uncultured bacterium. RNAcentral describes it as "partial 16S ribosomal RNA". It matches the Rfam family "Bacterial small subunit ribosomal RNA", at positions 507 to 807 of the family's 1533-position model. The record is from RNAcentral.